Molecule: ribosomal RNA, 549 nt
Filed under: Sporisorium sp. DMKU-SP129
Lineage: Eukaryota; Fungi; Basidiomycota; Ustilaginomycetes; Ustilaginales; Ustilaginaceae
Description: LSU rRNA
Rfam family: Eukaryotic large subunit ribosomal RNA
Source: RNAcentral
AAAGCUGGCGUCUUCGGCGUCCGCAUUGUAAUCUCAAGAAGUGUUUUCCGCUUCGGACCAUGCCUAAGUCCCUUGGAAAAGGGCAUCAUAGAGGGUGAUAAUCCCGUACAUGGCAUGGAGCGCCCGAGGCUUUGUGAUACGCUUUCUAAGAGUCGAGUUGUUUGGGAAUGCAGCUCAAAAUGGGUGGUAAAUGCCAUCUAAGGCUAAAUAUUGGGGAGAGACCGAUAGCGAACAAGUACAGUGAUGGAAAGAUGAAAAGAACUUUGAAAAGAGAGUUAAACAGUACGUGAAAUUGCCAAAAGGGAAGGGUAGGAGGUCAGAGAUGCGUCUUGGGAUUCAGCCUUGCUUUUGCUUGGUGUUUUUCCCAAGUUGCAGGCCAACGUCGGUUUUGGGCACUGGAGAAGGGUGGAAGGAACGUGGCACCUCUCGGGGUGUGUUAUAGCCUUCUACUGGAUACAGCGACCGAGACCGAGGACAGCAGCGUACUCGCAAGAGCGGGCCUUCGGGCACCUUUACGCUUAGGGCGUUGGCAUAAUGGCCCUCUACCAC